This is a ribosomal RNA of Nannospalax galili (Upper Galilee mountains blind mole rat), 121 nucleotides long. Lineage: Eukaryota; Metazoa; Chordata; Mammalia; Rodentia; Spalacidae. The record is from Ensembl.
GUCUCUAGCCAUGCCAUCCUGACCAUGUCCAAUCUCAUCUGCUCUCAGAAACUAAUCAGGGUCAGGUUUGGUUAGUACUUGGAUGUGAGGAUUAAGAACUGAGGUCCUAGGGCUGGAGAGA